Molecule: ribosomal RNA, 200 nt
Filed under: uncultured bacterium
Lineage: Bacteria
Description: partial 16S ribosomal RNA
Rfam family: Bacterial small subunit ribosomal RNA
Source: RNAcentral
AGAGUUUGAUCCUGGCUCAGGACGAACGCUGGCGGCGUGCCUAAUACAUGCAAGUCGAGCGGGGUUAUCCUUCGGGGUGACCUAGCGGCGGACGGGUGAGUAACACGUAGGCAACCUGCCUGCAAGACCGGGAUAACAUUCGGAAACGAAUGCUAAUACCGGAUACGCAGUUUUCCUGCAUGGGAGAGCUGGGAAAGACG